This 484-nucleotide ribosomal RNA is filed under the name uncultured bacterium. RNAcentral describes it as "partial 16S ribosomal RNA". It matches the Rfam family "Bacterial small subunit ribosomal RNA", at positions 30 to 507 of the family's 1533-position model. The record is from RNAcentral.
AUUGAACGCUGGCGGCAGGCCUAACACAUGCAAGUCGAGCGGAUGAAGGGAGCUUGCUCCUGGAUUCAGCGGCGGACGGGUGAGUAAUGCCUAGGAAUCUGCCUGGUAGUGGGGGAUAACGUCCGGAAACGGGCGCUAAUACCGCAUACGUCCUGAGGGAGAAAGUGGGGGAUCUUCGGACCUCACGCUAUCAGAUGAGCCUAGGUCGGAUUAGCUAGUUGGUGGGGUAAAGGCCUACCAAGGCGACGAUCCGUAACUGGUCUGAGAGGAUGAUCAGUCACACUGGAACUGAGACACGGUCCAGGCUCCUACGGGAGGCAGCAGUGGGGAAUAUUGGACAAUGGGCGGAAGCCUGAUCCAGCCAUGCCGCGUGUGUGAAGAAGGUCUUCGGAUUGUAAAGCACUUUAAGUUGGGAGGAAGGGCAGUAAGUUAAUACCUUGCUGUUUUGACGUUACCAACAGAAUAAGCACCGGCUAACUUCGUG